GUGCCAGCCGCCGCGGUAAGACGAGGGGUCCUAGCGUUGUUCGGAAUCACUGGGCGUAAAGCGCAUGUAGGCGGCUUUUCAAGUCAGGUGUGAAAGCCCACGGCUUAACCGUGGAAGUGCAUUUGAAACUGUAAAGCUUGAGUAUGGGAGAGGAUGGUAGAAUUCCUGGUGUAGUGGUGAAAUACGUAGGUAUCAGGAGGAAUACCGGUGGCGAAGGCGGCCAUCUGGCCUAAUACUGACGCUGAGAUGCGAAAGUGCGGGGAUCAAACAGGAUUAGAAACCCGCGUAGUCC
RNAcentral lists this ribosomal RNA (292 nucleotides) under uncultured bacterium. RNAcentral's name for it is "partial 16S ribosomal RNA". It matches the Rfam family "Bacterial small subunit ribosomal RNA", at positions 505 to 796 of the family's 1533-position model. The record is from RNAcentral.